This 11865-nucleotide long non-coding RNA is filed under the name Mytilus galloprovincialis (Mediterranean mussel). The record is from RNAcentral. Lineage: Eukaryota; Metazoa; Mollusca; Bivalvia; Mytilida; Mytilidae.
UUUCGACAUGACUCUUUGUUGGAUUAUUGUGCCAAUAUUAAUUGUUCACCUGAAAUGUAAGUACAGUAGCUACUAUUAACAUGCUCACUAUUCCUGUGACUUCGACACAACUUUUAAAAGACCCCCUUUGUUCUUUUCUAAUGUAGAAAAAAAACCUCUUUGUUGUAUUAAAGACAAAGAGGUAUGAUAUCCCGUUCAUAAAACAACUUUGGAAGGUCUUUUUAACCAAUGGACCAAGUCAGGAAUAUGACAGUUGUUCUAUCCAUUCGUUUAAUAUGUUUAAACUUUUGAUCUUGCCACUUGAUAAGAGACUUUCCCUUUAUAAUUUCCCUCGGUGUUGUUUUACUUGAUGCCCGACCGAGAGACCUAUAGGGUUUGUUUUGAUUAUUAAGUGUUUCCAGCUUAUCUUUUUUUUCGCCACAUUUUUUCAUUUCUUGCAUUGUUUUUUUGGAGGGGGAUUUGGAUGGGGUGUAGGGGAUUGGUCUCAAGAUUUAAAUGUUUACGCUCUGAAUGAUAAUGUGAAAAAAGGAAGCUGUUGACACUUUUUCUUCGCCUAAACGCGAACUUCCCCUUAAAUUGCUCGUUUCGUCUUCAGCAUGUAUAAAUUCUUACCUAAUCUAUUCGGGAUUCUACAUGAGACUUAUUAUCCUAUGAAUAUGUGGUUCAAAUAAAAAGUAUGUGUAGCUGUUGAAAUUUAAGUGAUAUACGCUUUAUUAGAGAUUUCCAAUGAAAUGACAUACGUACGUAACUCGACGUACGGACGUAAUGGAACGUGUUAUUGCCAACCAUCGAAUUUCAUUUAAUAUGUAGCUUAUGUUUAAAACAAAGCAUUAAAAGACUUUUAAAAUCACUAUUCCAAGACUUUUAAAAUCACACACUGGAAUAAUCGUCCAUAUACAUUUUUUAUAUCAUUGACGAAAAAUGACAGAAAUAUUACACAUUUUAUUUAUCACGUGGUUUUCCAUAUUCCCGCCUUUAUUUUACUGACAUAAGAUCACGUAUUGAUAAUGUAUCCCAUACCUAUCAUACGUACGAUUCGAGUUAUCUUUCGUGGGUUUGAUUAUGACAAUAAUUUUGCAAUAUUCUUUGCAGAUGCACGCCCCAUUAUACUUUUUUCUGUUUUUCUUUGUAGUUUAUCUAUCUUUUUAUUACAUUUAAUUUGUUGCAGGGAAAAUGUCUAGAAGGAUAUAUUUUUGACAUUUUCAUUAAUAUCGAAAGCAGCAUUUUUCAGAAUCUCUUUAAAAAGGUUGAAAAUUCAGAUAUAACUAUCGCUUCCAUAUAAUGUGUAAACAAAAUUAUUUUUCAUGGUUUUUUUUUAAACGUAUUGAUAAAAAAAUCCCUACACCUGUAAUUCUUUUUUUAAAUUAAGGUGUGUUUUUUGUUGGAUAAGAAUGAAAAACCAAAAAAUAGAGUUGAUUCAUUGAUUUUGGCCCUAAAAUAUGAAUUUUUUAUCUGCGGUGAUGUUGUGAAAACUUGAUGAAAACAUAUAGUAAAAUGGCCAAUUUUUCUGUUAUAGAAUCGGCAUAAUAAAAGUUAAAUUUCUGAAACAUUACCAGUGAUGCCAUCCCUCGCCAACAUAUUUUUACAGAUUAUAAAUUCCUACACUGCAACAAGUGUAUUACGACAUUUCUCCACUCGAGACAGUUAAAUUUUAUUAUUUAAAGCGCGAGGCUUGCCGAGCUCUUUAAAUAACUAAAAUUUAACUGUCGAGAGUGGAGAAAUAUCGUAAUACACGAGUUGUGGUGUAGGAAUCUGUAAUUUAAUGAUUUUUAUCCUCUUUUUCAAAGAUUUAUAGAAACUUGUGUUCCGGCUUUAUAUGCGACGUCACCAAGCAUGGUCGCCUUAUUUUCAUAACGUCACAAUAGGACAAUUCAGAAGAAAACAAAACAUUUAGACGUCAGAAUCAAAUUUCGACUAAUCAUUUGCCGAGAACAGAUUUUUCACUAGUGAGGAGAAAUAUUUUUCUCACACCGGUCAGGAAAUGUGAAAAUAGCACAAAAAUUAGAGAAACUAUAUAUACCCAUACUUUUUAAUUUUCCAUAUCAUUUCAAUGGGCGAAUGAAAUGUAUUUCUAUAACAGGCUAUUAUAUCUUUAAAAUAGAAGGCAAAUUCGUAAGGGCUUCCCCGGAAACCGCUGUCUCACUUGCAAUACGGCUGUCAGUGUAAAACUGUAUUAGUGACAUAAACAGGGAGUUUAUUUAUCAGUUAAUUACAGAAUCUUUAAAAAAAUCAAACUUUUUUUAGAUGCUAUAUUAUGAUGAAAACAUAUUUAACUUUAUACUUGUUUGGUUUCCUGACUACUUUGAUCUGAAUGUCACUGAUGAGUCUUAUGUAGAUAAAAGGCGCGUCUGGUGUUUUAAAUUAUAAGCCUUGUACCUUUGAUAACUAUAAGCAUGUCGAAAUGUAUUAUUGUAUUGUUUAUUUAUGUAUUUCUCUGUCCUGAAUGUUCUUGCAUUAUUUGUACUGUAAUGUUCUCUUUUUAGUGUUAUAUUUAACAUUGCUAUUAAAUGCGAGUUUUGGCUAGCCACAAAAUCAGGUUCAACCCACCAUUUUUUUUCUUGAAAUGUCCUGUACCAAGUCAGGAAAAUGGCAGUUGUUAUCUUAAAGUUUGUGUUGGUGUGUGUUACAUUGUCGUUUGCUUUUUUUGUUGCACUUUAGUGUUUCUGUUGUUUCGUUGUUUUCCUCUUAUAGUUGAUGUGUUUCCCUCGGUUAAAAUUUGUAACCCGGAUUUGUUUUCUCUCAAUCGAUUUAUUACUUUCGAACAGCGGUAUACUACUGUUUUCUUUAUUUGAUCCGUCUGUCCAGGUUUCAAAACAAUCUAUAAAGGUUUUCAAAUAAAUCAACAGAAUUCAAUUUUAGACUGCCUGUAAAUGUUUACUGUAAAAAAAGCUCCACUGGUCAGAAAUAUACUAAAAAUGAAACAAAUGUAUUUCAAAAAGUGUAGGAAGGAUGUUAUCUCAUCAUAAGACAGCUUCUACCAAACUUUCAUAACAUUGUAUGGAAGUUCGACAUUUUGAUUGAUGUGUAACAAACUUUACCCUAAUGUAUCUACUUGUUUUCUGUCAAAAUUGUUCAUUUAUCAAUAAAGUACGGGUGAAUAAAUAUAUACUUUCGAUACUGUAUUUUGGUCAUAAACAGACUUCUGUCCAAGUUGCAUAAAGUUUCACGAAGGUUUGACAAAGUUAUAUAUGUAUAAAAAAAACUUCUACCACAAAUUGAACUGCUAUAUAAACGUCUCCUGCGCGACGACGAGCCGUCGAGGGAAGUUAGAAUCAGUAUGUCUCGCUUUUGUGUCAUAAGAGACAACAACCCAACCAUAGAGCAGACAACAGCAGAAGGUCACCAACAGGUCUUCAAUGCAACGAGAAAUUCUUGCACCCGGAGACGUCCUUCAGCUGGCCCCAAAACAAAUAUAUACUAGUUCUUAGUGCGGUGACAGAAGUGUAAAAAGUCGUCUAGAUCGCGAGUUUAAUCUCCCCAAAUAACACACGGUAAAAAUGGUCUUAACUUAAAGACAAAUAUGUCUUCUUUAGUUUUUGCCCUGUCGUCAGAAUUUCGUACGGUCACUUUUUUUCUAAAAAGUCGUUUUAAUGACUGGUAGUAUAUUGGAGAGUUUCAACCCCCUUUUCAAAAUGAAAAAAUGUGUAUGUUUGCUUACAUUUAACUGAAAUAGUUUUUCUUGAAGCUAUUUUUAUAUGUCAAAAUAUUCCAUUCAGUAUUUUAUUUUCUUCUAAUCUAUAAAAUUUGCGAAGUUUAGACUAUUUAAAAUUGAGGUAAUUUUAAUUGCAAAUUCAGACUCAAACUUUAGUUUCCUCUUCAUAGUAGUAAUAAAAAUUAUCCCAUAAUAUUUUAAGCAUAUAAUAUUUAAUAAAAACUAAUCAGUGAUAAAAAUUUCGGAACCAAAAUAUGAAAAAAACCUUAAGAAAUCAAUGGAAAAAGAAUGGAGUAAAAAUCUUCAAUUUCAACACGGAACUCAAUCACUUGCCUUCCGUCACAUUUUGUGUAUUAGUCAAUAAUUUGCUCUCAAAUGAUAUAUGGAAUUACUACCUUUUUCGCAUUAUAUACACAUAUUUUCCAAUUAAAAGUGCACUGAUAUAUGCCACAUACUUUGUUUGUAUAUGUUUAUAUUCUAUGUUUUUUUUCGUUAUAAAACAUCAAAUAUACUUUGUCAGAAAAGUCUUAUUGUAAAAUCAAAAUAAUUGACGGAUAGUUUCAGUAAAUAUUCCGUGAUAUGUCAAGUCCUUUGCAACUUGCUCCAUUAAGUUCAAAGAAAAGACAAAAGUCGUUACAUUUUAUGCAGUGCUUAAUAUGCCAAAAAAAACCUCGAUUGAAAUUUUGAGUCAAUUCACCAGUUUAGGGAAGUCGAUUUUUGUAUUUGCAUUGCAUAAAAGAUUGGAUGACGUGAAUAUCAAGCUGUUUCAUGCCAAUAGCUGUUAAUUUGAAGAACUCCGUGCAGGCAGUUUAUCAUCGUUCAUGCUACAAAACUUACACAAGUAAACAUAUGUGUUCCCCCUUUUAGUGCGAGGAAGCUUCUAGUCUAAUAUUUAAUGAUGACAUACAAUUAUCUGACUGUUGUCCCUCAGUUUCGGGUAUUUGUACACGUUCUACAUGUUCUAGAAUGCAGUCGUUCAACUGGAGCGCUUGUAUAUUUUGUUGCAACAAACAUUUUAGAAAGAUAAAAAAUUACUCAAGUUUGAAUCAGAUGAGCGUAUUAAAAAAUGUUUUAUCCGUGUCAGAUAAAGUUAAAGUUGAAAUAGUUUCCCGUCCAUCCUUUAAACUUCAAUCACUCUGUCAUUUCGGUUGCAUUACAAAUUAUUUGCUAAAAACGUAAAAAAAAAAUCCAAACUCGUGGAAGCAGAUAUCUCAAAACACGAUACUGCUUUUAGUAAUUUUAUUUUGGCUAUUGACAACGAUUUAAUGGUCAUUCCUCAUGACACCGUUACUCGAUAAAUAUAGAUCAUUUCUUCCGGCUGAUUCUAAUUCAAAAUAUUCUACAUGUAAAAUGCAGUCUAAACUAAUUUAUUUCUAUAGAAAUUCAGUUGUCAAACAACUUCAACAAGUUCAAGGCAAAUAUAACAUAAUAUUUAGUAGCAAAAUAACUAUUUAAGAUGCCAUAUAAGCUUCUAGUCAAUUAAAAACUGACCUCAAAAUCUCAAUUUCAACUGUAAUAGACACAAAUAACGGACAGAUAUUUCAUUCCGCUGCAAGUUUACUUAGAAAAGACAUCGAAACUCUAAAGAAAACUACCCAACUUCGGAUGAAUUGUCUCUUCCUUCUUAAUUCAGCCAAUACCUUCGUAUUUAUUGCAAUUCAUUCUAUGGUUACUCAAUGAAAAUGCAUACAGCCAAGACUAUUCUCAGGAAAGGGCACCAGAGCAAUUGUGGAAAUGCUAAGCAAUUGAUGAGGUAAUCGUUUUUGUUUUACUCCUUUUCAUUUAGGAUUGGCUUUACAAAUGUACCAUGAGUUUGGUUCAAAACACCUUGUUGAAACAUUGAAUGCCAAUGGAUUUUAUGCUACUUAAAGUAAAGUGCGACGCUAUCUAAUGUGUUGCCAAUCAUGAAAUUGAGCGAAUUCAAGAUAGUGUGUACGUCUAGUAUAAUGUUUCUCCAGCAUCUUUGCAGACAAGCAUAUGGAUGUCAUUACACCUUCCUAAACCCCCUUUAAGAUCUCUUUUAAAAUCUUGAAUGAAUUGAUAGGGAUGGUUUGAAGCUGAUAUUUUUUUAGGAACAAAUGUCUUCGGACUUCCUACAAUACCUUGUCUGUACUUGUAAAGAAAAACUCAAAGUAACGUGUUUGCUUUGAGCAAAACCUUUCAUGUGCAGACCUGUGGCCAUGAGUGAAAUGUGUAGAAAUAUUAAAACAUGUCUUGUGACGGUUGAUGAAAAUGAAGAUGAUGGAGAUAACGGUUGAUUUGGUAUAAAGCUUGUUGCACUGGUACACACGGUUCCAGUAUCGAGGUAAAGGGGAGUGUUUGCGUGCCCUUAAAAAAGUCAAACCCCGCCAAUAUCUGUAUGUGUCUGUUUCAAGUCACGAGACGGUAAUGCAGUGUUUGUCGUUUGUUUCUAUAUCCUAUAUUUGUUUCUUUCUUAUUUAUUUUGUACAUUAAUCAGGUCGUUAGAUUUUUUGUUUGUUUUACAUUAUUCAUUUCGGGAAUUGAAGACUAUGCAGUAUGAAUUUUACUCAUUGUUGAAGCCCGUACGGGACCUAUAAUUGUUUUAUGUCUCAUUUGGUUUCAUUUGGAGAGUUGUCUCAUUUGCAAUCAUAUCACAUCUUCUUUUUUUUAUAUGGAACACUUUUGAAGUUUGGAGUACGUUGCAAGGGAAAAAAGGGGGGAUAUAGUUACAAAACCUAUAAUGUAAUAGAUAUUAACCAGAGUUGAAUACACAACAAAAGAUAAUACUAUGGUAGCAGUCAUAAUUGUGAAAAAAAACCCAAAAUCAACGAGUAGUCUAUAAAAAACACUGAAGUAUCCGCAAAUUCAAUUUGAGGUCAUAUUUGACUGUAGCGUUCUAUGGCUUUGGUUUGAUGACUCACCCACUAUGAUAGUUUAAAAAAUAAUUUUAAAGUAUUGUCUUGCAUGACACUUGAUUUUUACCUGAAAUUGAUAUUUUUCAUAAGGUUAAGGUGCUCUAAACAUUUUAAAGGUUGAAAACUUGAUUUUUGAAGUUUUGUUUAUAAAACGUCGUUUUACGAUUUUUUUGAUAAAAAAAAUCUCAAUGAUUAAGGUUUAUGUAUAAAAACAAACAUUACUAAAGCCAAAACAGUAUCAUUUGUAUAUAGGUAGAGUUUAGAAAUAGAAAAAAAUGUCAAAAUUGAAACUCUCCCAAACUUUCACAGAUUUCUACAUAUGACCUUUGACCUCAAUUUAAAAAAAAUGUGACCAUAUCAAGUCCUGACGACAGGCAUAUCAUUAUAGUACACGAUUUCCUCUUUCCAAUGAUAUAUUAUGUAGGUGUGUGUUCGGUGGGGAGAUUAAAUUCCAAAAAAUCUGCCUUCAGUCACCGCACUAUCUUUAGUUCAAAUUUGUUAUGAGGUUUCAGAGGAGAAGAUUUUUGAAACGGACCAUGGCCGACAAGGGAUGAUAAAAGCUCAUAUGACCUUUAAGCUAAACAAAUAUGUAUUGGGAAUUACUGACAGAAAUAAGGAGUUAACUGAUGAUUUCGAUAAAUUUGAAAUAAUUUUGAUUUUAACAUUAAAUCAUCCUCUUUAUAUACUUUUUUUAAUGAAACCCCAAUUUGUUACAAAUGAAAUGUUGAGGAGAAUAACUCAAAAAUGGGUUCACCAAUUUUUUCUGAAAUUUGCAAAGCAGAUUGAUCCUUAUCUUCACAUACUCAUACUUUUCAAAUGUCAGGUUUAUUUUCACUGCGUUAAAAUUUGAUGUAAGUCAAAUUUGCCGUUUUAUCUCUACGUCCUUUUUUUAAACCAAAAACCUGAUAUUUUAUAGAUGGAGCUAGAACGCGUUUAAAUUUGUGCUUAACAAAGAUACGAAUAAAGUAUGGUCACAUCAAGCAUAGUAGUUUCAGAGGAUAAGUUUAUUCUUAGUCUAUGACGAUGGCAAUGAUAACAAUAGCUCACAUGAUCGUUUUGUUCAAUUGAGUUAAAACUGUGCAUACUUUGUUUUUCAUAAUUUUGUAGUAUGUAAACUGCAGCAGAAGAUAUAUCGUGUAUGAAGAUAUUCAAAUAUAUUUUUGACUUCUCAUUUCACAUCAAACAUUAUUAUAAUUGUCGUCUCUUCAUUUGUCAAACAUUGUUAAAAAUCAGUUAGUUUACGCUGUGUAGAAAUUCAACUAUCUACACUGAAAAACUUACUAGCCAAAUGAUUUAAUUAUACAUUUCAACAACUUAUUCGGUGACACCUUUUUAAUUUUUUAUCAGAUUUUUUUUUAAGCAAUAGCAUAGUAAUCAACGAAACAAAAAUGUAGUACAGAAUUUUUGAACACCAGAGUCAACACAUUUAUUAGACCAAGGUGACCAGAGAUGACUUUUUUAACAGUCUUGACAUGUUUAUUAACAUAGUUUUAUCAUGUAUUGAUUGCCAGCAAUAAUAAGCUCUUUAACAUAUUAGAACUUAUCGUAGCUUACUUUCACUUUCAACCGGAAAUAAUGCUCUAUUAGUUGGAUGUCCUUUCUACAUUAUCUUGAAAUUGAGGUCUAGGUCAAACGUAAAUUGGAAGUCAUAACUUUUGGUCGGAAGAUAUGACAUUGAAAAGGUCAACUAAAUGUGGCUUUUUGCAAAACGGAAAUAUCCUAAUCUAUACUACUAACAUAAUUUUUAUUGAAUAACAGACAACAAAAUUACGGGCACAUGCAAUCGUAUAAUGACAAUUUCUCUAGGUCUGAUUGAUUUCAUGCUAUAGAUAGAAAAUAUAUAAACAUUGUACUUUAUCGUUUUAUCUAUAAAAAAAGGUAUUGCAACACCGAAUUGAAGUUUAAAUUAAAAAUAUAUAUAUAUAUAUAUGUAUUGUUUAGUGAUAUAAUCUAUUGAAAUAUAACUAGUUUAACAUUAUUUGAGUUUAAUACAUAAAUGUCUACUCGAUAAGUUUUUUUAUCUUCAUUGUUUUCAAAUCUUUAAAAACCCAAGUCUGUAAAGUAAUGUGAUUGACACCAUGUAAUGGGUCAUCCACAACUCACAACUUCAACAAGAUCGCAGAUUAUUGGAAUGAGAGAGGCAGAUGUGUUGCUGCGACAAAUUGCACGUAUUGUAGGUCAUCAUCAAUCCACUAUAAUUACAAGCAACAGUAGUAUACCGCUGUUCGGUUGAAAGAAAACAAAUCCGGGUUAGAAACUAAAAACGAGGGAGAUACAUCAAAUAUAAGUCGUUUUGUAAAUAAAAAUAAUGCCAAAAAUUGUUAAAGACCUACCGAGAUCAGGGACAUCCCCUUCAACAUCAGCAUAAGAAAACUAAGCAUUAUAAAGGUUUGUCAAAAGUAAACCUUUUGCAAACAGUAUAAUCAUAAAAAGAGAGUGUUUGCCAUAUAAGAGACUUUAAACAAAAAAAGUUCGAAAUCGACUCAUAGCUAUUGUACCCAAUGAUGCAGAGCACGCCAACGUUGGAAAUUAGCAUCCUGGAGGAAGAUCCAAUUGGCCAAUGCAAGUUUGUUUUGCUUCCUUGGUCUGAUCGUAAUCCGAUUUUAAACCAUAUUGAGCAUAUAUGAAUCAUUUUGUGCCGUAAAGUGUGCGAAAAGACACCCCUGUUUAAAAAUUUAAUGAAAUAAACAAUGCCUAUAAUCAGGAAUGGUUGUGGUUAACAAAGGAGUAUGUUCGGUAAGGUCCUAAAAUGGCCCCCUUUUUUAGCUUAAAUUUCAAAUUCGGAUUAAUUAACAAAUAUCACAAUAAAUUAUAGCUAAUACAGUGACAAGAUAGGAAAUAAGCCAUUUUGUUGAAAAUUUUACGUUUCUGCGUUUCAUUAUGACGUCACAAAUUGUACUCAUAUUGAUUUUGACGAAAAAUUCAAUAAAAAUGGGUAAAUUUCCAUAGAUUACUGGACAGGAAACAUAGAGCGCAUACGUCGACAACAAAGAUCUUUUAAAAUAAUGUUUGUGAAGACAUUUUAAAUGUCUUAUUUGAAUAUUAAGUUUGUCGACGCCUGCGCUCUAUGUUUCCUGGUCCUUCAUUUGGUUGAAAUCCAGCUGAUUUUGUUAAAUUUCACCAAAAUCCCUUAUCUUGACCUUUUUGGGAUGAAAAAAUCCACGUGUUAGAAUUAAACUUUGACAAAAACAGUUCUGUUUAACUUUCUCACAUGUCUUUAAGGCAUCUUAAAACAUUUAUUGUCUUGUAACUAUGAACUUUAUAAUUGGGGCCAAAUAUGGCCCUUAUCGAACUUACUCCUUUGUCGAUUGAUGUUUGGCAUGAUAAGAUGUUUAGAGUCAGUUAUCCUUGUGAAUGUAGGCUAGAUCGUAACAUUGAUGCUUUGGCUUAUAACAAUCAACUUUGAUGGGACACCCAUCUUAAGGCAAAAUUUUAAAUUUCUGACAUUCUAUUGUUCGAUUAUAGCAAAAUUUAUAAAAUGAUUUUUUUGCACAAAAAUCGCUUCAUUUUGUUAUCAAAAUUAGGGUUAAGAAAAACAUUUUUUUUCUUUAAUUUUUUAAUUUAUUUUAAUUCCAAUGUUUCAAUUCUUGUGUACAAACAUUUUAUCAAAAAAGGAGGCUGAUUUUCAAAUUCAAGGAAUUGCAAUUCCUUUUUCUAUGUUUUUUUUUUUGUUAUGCAUUAGAAACGAAGGUUCAGUACUUUAUUAUUUUAUUAACAUAUUUUAACAUUUUGAAAUCGGCAAAUAGUUUGUACAUAGGUUAAUAUAUACAUUUUUGUAUGUGGAUUUACUAGUGAGGUAAAUUGCUACAGUCAUUAUAGGCACGUUUCUUAUCCAUCCCAAAUUUAUUUAUUUAGUUUUGAUGUUAUAUUUGUUAUUGUCAUCGGAUAUUGUCAAAUGUCUUAACGUUUGUAGUUAUAUCUUAUGUUUUUUUUUUCUGUUGUAUUCAUGUGUUAUGGUAAAGAUAAUUAAUUAUCCAGUUUAUUUAUAAGAUUUUAGUUUGGAUAUUUACACGAUAUAUUUGGUUUACAGUUUGAUUCAGAAAAGACACUGACAUAGCUAGAUAAUACAAUUAAUUAUCUAAUUACUUCUAGAAUUUGAUAUUAAUUAGUAUUGUAAUUUUCACUGUUAUUAAUAAAUGAAAGAUAAGUCAUACAAAUCUAAUCUUGAAUUUCAUCCAAAUUCUAUCUUAAUUUUGGGAAAUCGUUUUAGAAAUUCAAAUGUGAUGUCACUUUGUACUGUGUGCGUUUCACUGACUUUGGCUAACACUGCUGUGUAUUUUUGUAAUGUAUCCGUUUUUAUUCUGUAGCUAUUCACCACUUCAGUUUAAUCAUGUAUAUCUAUUAUAUAGUCAUUUUUAAACAAAAUACUGCUUCCAAAGUAUGAAUUACAACUUUUUGGAACUUUUGGUGCUCAGUGCUCUUCAGCUUUGUACUUGUUUUGGCUUUCAAACGUUUUCUCUCUGAAGUGUGAAUUAUUCUAAAUAAGAAGGAUGUUCUUGUCCCAGGCGGAUAACCCUGGCCGUAUUGUUCACAACAUUUUGGAACUUUUGGUCCUCGGUAAUCUUCAACUAAGUACUUGUUUUUUCUUUCGAACGUUGUACUGAGUCAGGAAAAUGUCCAUUGUUAUAUUACAGUUCGUUUCUGUGGGUGUUACAUUUUAAUGUUGUGUUUCUAUUGUGUCGUAGUUCUCUUAUAUUUGAUACGUUUCCCUCAAUUUAAGUUUUUAACCAGAAAUUGGUUUUUUUCUUUCGAUUGAUGAAUUUCGAACAGCGUUAUACUACUGUUGCCUUUUUUUAGUCUACGCCAAAUGUAGAUAUGUGGGGAAGUUCUUCAGGCUGAUGUUUAAAAAGCGAAAGAAUCACACCAGAAUAAAAUAAACUUGUUUUAUUUACCAAAUAUUUUAUUUACCAAAAAUAUCAAGUAUCGUCAGAAGCAGUAAAAUGUCUGCUCAAAGUGAUCUUUGUACAUGCCGUGUACACACUUAUCAACUGUACAAGUCAGCUCUGAUUGUUGGAAUUUAUUGUUGAAGAUGAAUUAAGAUUAAAACUAUUUAUCUUAAAAGGUGUCCUUUUCAUAGGUUAAACCAAACAAUCGCCAAAAUAUUCAGUUUCUUUAAUUUUAGUUUUAUUUUUACUUUCAGAUUAUGUACAAGGAAAUAUAAUUUAUGUAAAUGAAAAUUCAACAGCUGUGAUACGUUGUCCAUUCAAGGCAGAUUUGGGUUUUAAAAUAAGUUGGCAUGGUCCACCAUCGUUACAAAUAUAUACACAAGGCGAAGCGGUAAAUACAAACGUACUACAGAGUGACAGACUAAGUGUUGUUGGUCAAUUUAAGGAAGGG